This 468-nucleotide ribosomal RNA is filed under the name uncultured bacterium. RNAcentral describes it as "partial 16S ribosomal RNA". It matches the Rfam family "Bacterial small subunit ribosomal RNA", at positions 28 to 507 of the family's 1533-position model. The record is from RNAcentral.
GACGAACGCUGGCGGCGUGCUUAACACAUGCAAGUCGAACGGUGAUGCCCCAGCUUGCUGGAGUGGAUCAGUGGCGAACGGGUGAGUAACACGUGAGCAACCUGCCCCAGACUCUGGAAUAAGCUCUGGAAACGGCGUCUAAUACUGGAUACGAAACUGGCCCGCAUGGGCAUGGUUUGGAAAGUUUGUCGGUUUGGGAUGGGCUCGCGGCCUAUCAGCUUGUUGGUGAGGUAAUGGCUCACCAAGGCGACGACGGGUAGCCGGCCUGAGAGGGCGACCGGCCACACUGGGACUGAGACACGGCCCAGACUCCUACGGGAGGCAGCAGUGGGGAAUAUUGCACAAUGGGCGGAAGCCUGAUGCAGCAACGCCGCGUGAGGGAUGACGGCCUUCGGGUUGUAAACCUCUUUCAGCAGGGAAGAAGCGAGAGUGACGGUACCUGCAGAAGAAGCACCGGCUAACUACGUG